UAACGUUGACCCGUGAUCCGGGUUGCGGACAGUGUCUGGUGGGUAGUUUGACUGGGGCGGUCUCCUCCUAAAGAGUAACGGAGGAGCACGAAGGUUGGCUAAUCCUGGUCGGACAUCAGGAGGUUAGUGCAAUGGCAUAAGCCAGCUUGACUGCGAGCGUGACGGCGCGAGCAGGUGCGAAAGCAGGUCAUAGUGAUCCGGUGGUUCUGAAUGGAAGGGCCAUCGCUCAACGGAUAAAAGGUACUCCGGGGAUAACAGGCUGAUACCGCCCAAGAGUUCAUAUCGACGGCGGUGUUUGGCACCUCGAUGUCGGCUCAUCACAUCCUGGGGCUGAAGUAGGUCCCAAGGGUAUGGCUGUUCGCCAUUUAAAGUGGUACGCGAGCUGGGUUUAGAACGUCGUGAGACAGUUCGGUCCCUA
Molecule: ribosomal RNA, 418 nt
Filed under: Escherichia coli
Lineage: Bacteria; Pseudomonadati; Pseudomonadota; Gammaproteobacteria; Enterobacterales; Enterobacteriaceae
Description: partial 23S ribosomal RNA
Rfam family: Bacterial large subunit ribosomal RNA
Source: RNAcentral